AACAGCAGGCAUGGACGCUUUACUGCGUUACCCGGGCAAGGUGGUGAUCGUGACUGGUGGCACCUCAGGCAUCGGUCUGGCCACUGUGAGAGAAUUCGUUCGCCAGGGAGCCAAUGUGGUCUUCUGUUCACGAGCCUGCGGAGCGGAAUAGGGGCGAGCGAUUCAGAGGGACCUGCAGGCUUCUGGGGGCCCAGGCCAAGCCUGCUACCAGGUCUGUGACAUUCGCAAGGAGUCAGACAUCAAGAGGUUGAUUCGGACCACUGUAGAACGUUUCGGAUGCCUGGACUGCCUGGUGAACAAUGCUGGAAAUGCUUAUUUAGAAUCGUCAGAUGACAUCACUGCCCAAGACUUUGAAAACCUCAUGGAACUCAAUGUUGUGAGCUAUUU
This is a long non-coding RNA of Gekko japonicus, 387 nucleotides long. RefSeq lists it as uncharacterized. The record is from RefSeq and is a predicted model, not a curated record. The transcript has 5 exons. NCBI's taxonomy places the organism in Eukaryota, Metazoa, Chordata, Lepidosauria, Squamata, Gekkonidae.